This 75-nucleotide transfer RNA is filed under the name Syntrophaceae bacterium PtaB.Bin095. RNAcentral's name for it is "tRNA-Glu". It matches the Rfam family "tRNA". Rfam says of the family: Transfer RNA (tRNA) molecules are approximately 80 nucleotides in length. Their secondary structure includes four short double-helical elements and three loops (D, anti-codon, and T loops). RNAcentral also lists the same sequence under 2 other names. The record is from RNAcentral. Lineage: Bacteria; Pseudomonadati; Thermodesulfobacteriota; Syntrophia; Syntrophales; Syntrophaceae.
GGUCCCAUCGUCUAGUGGUUAGGACGCUGGCCUCUCACGCCGGAAACCGGAGUUCAACUCUCCGUGGGACUACCA